Molecule: small nuclear RNA, 313 nt
Filed under: Saimiri boliviensis boliviensis (Bolivian squirrel monkey)
Lineage: Eukaryota; Metazoa; Chordata; Mammalia; Primates; Cebidae
Description: 7SK RNA (ENSSBOG00000002232.1)
Rfam family: 7SK RNA
About the family: 7SK was discovered as an abundant small nuclear RNA in the mid-70s but a possible function has only recently been suggested. Two independent studies have found that 7SK RNA binds the CDK9/cyclin T complex (known as elongation factor P-TEFb). P-TEFb activates transcription by phosphorylating the C-terminal domain of RNA polymerase II.
Source: RNAcentral
GGAUGUGAAGGCGAUCUGACUGCAAUAUCUGUCACCUCACUGAUGGCCAGGGUUGAUUCAGCUGAUCUGGCUGACUAGGCGGGUGACCCUUCCUCCCUCACCGCUCCAUAUGUGUCCCUCCUGAAGCCACACACUUGGUCAAAAACGACGACCAUCUACAAUGGAGGAGGACUGGUCUUGUUGGCUCAAGGGUAUACAAGUAGCUGUGCUCCCCUGCUAGAACCUCCAAACAAGCUCUCAAAGUAAUUAUGGCUGAAUUGCUUGGUUUCAAGUUAAUUUUAGUAGAAGGGCAAUCUGAAUAUAACCACUUUCA